GCCAACGGUAAACGCUGGGUAGCCAUGUGCGGAGUGGAUAACCGCUGAAAGCAUCUAAGUGGGAAGCCCACCUCAAGAUGAGUAUUCCCAUGGGGUAACCCAGUAAGGUCACGGGAAGAACACCCGUUGAUAGGCUCUACGUCGAAGUCCAGUAAUGGAUGCAGCGGAGGAGUACUAAUAGACCGAGGGCUUGACCAA
Molecule: ribosomal RNA, 198 nt
Filed under: Synechococcus sp. TMED66
Lineage: Bacteria; Bacillati; Cyanobacteriota; Cyanophyceae; Synechococcales; Synechococcaceae
Description: partial 23S ribosomal RNA
Rfam family: Bacterial large subunit ribosomal RNA
Source: RNAcentral